RNAcentral lists this non-coding RNA (335 nucleotides) under Coelastrella sp. M60. The record is from RNAcentral. Lineage: Eukaryota; Viridiplantae; Chlorophyta; Chlorophyceae; Sphaeropleales; Scenedesmaceae.
GGCACGCACCUGGCAGGCCCCAAUGUCCUAGCUGGUUACGUCAAGGUGUUUCAGGGUGACUCCUAUCACCUCGUAACCCUAAACUAGAGUCGCAAAGGCCAGUCAUUGGCAGCACACGGUAGAGGGGUCUUGGAAGCUGGUUUCCCCCUUGCAGGGAUUAGGUGGAGCAAAGAAGCCAGUAAGCUGGCUAGGGUAGUGGGUCAUAUAGGUACACAGCUCUGCUGAGGGCGGGCAAUUCACUCACAGUCUGGUGGGCAGUCUGGGUUGUGACAAUGGUUUGGCCAUGAGGGUUGCUCAGAACCGGGCGGAGUCCCUGCUUGGGUGCUGCAUAUUGC